Molecule: ribosomal RNA, 468 nt
Filed under: uncultured bacterium
Lineage: Bacteria
Description: partial 16S ribosomal RNA
Rfam family: Bacterial small subunit ribosomal RNA
Source: RNAcentral
GACGAACGCUGGCGGCGUGCUUAACACAUGCAAGUCGAACGGAAAGGCCCUGCUUUUGUGGGGUGCACGAGUGGCGAACGGGUGAGUAACACGUGAGUAACCUGCCCUUGACUUUGGGAUAACUUCAGGAAACUGGGGCUAAUACCGGAUAGGAGCUCCUGCUGCAUGGUGGGGGUUGGAAAGUUUCGGCGGUUGGGGAUGGACUCGCGGCUUAUCAGCUUGUUGGUGUGGUAGUGGCUUACCAAGGCUUUGACGGGUAGCCGGCCUGAGAGGGUGACCGGCCACAUUGGGACUGAGAGACGGCGCAGACUCCUACGGGAGGCAGCAGUGGGGAAUAUUGCACAAUGGGCGGAAGCCUGAUGCAGCAACGCCGCGUGCGGGAUGACGGCCUUCGGGUUGUAAACCGCUUUCGCCUGUGACGAAGAGUGAGUGACGGUAAUGGGUAAAGAAGCACCGGCUAACUACGUG